This 415-nucleotide ribosomal RNA is filed under the name uncultured microorganism. RNAcentral's name for it is "bacterial SSU rRNA". It matches the Rfam family "Archaeal small subunit ribosomal RNA", at positions 330 to 745 of the family's 1478-position model. The record is from RNAcentral.
GUGCAGCAGGCGAGAAAACUUCACACUGUGCGAAAGCACGAUGAGGGAAUCCCAAGUGCUUGCACGUAAGUGUAAGCCGUUUCUCUGUCUAAAACGCAGAGAGAGUAAGGGCUGGGUAAGACGGGUGCCAGCCGCCGCGGUAAUACCUGCAGCUCAAGUGGUGACCGUUAUUAUUGGGCCUAAAACGUCCGUAGCCGGUUUAAUAAAUGCCUGGGUAAAUUGUGUAGCUUAACUAUACGAAUUCCGGGUAGACUGUUAAACUUGAGACCGGGAGAAGUUAGAGGUACUCCUGGGGUAGAGGUGAAAUUCUGUAAUCCUAGGGGGACCACCAGUGGCGAAGGCGUCUAACUAGAACGGGUCUGACGGUGAGGGACGAAGCCCUGGGGCGCAAACGGGGAUUAGAUACCCCGGUAGU